RNAcentral lists this non-coding RNA (200 nucleotides) under Corchorus capsularis. The record is from RNAcentral. Lineage: Eukaryota; Viridiplantae; Streptophyta; Magnoliopsida; Malvales; Malvaceae.
GUCAAGCUUGGUAACACAAGUUUGUCAGCCAAGUGGGGGCAAUAUGGUGAUGGGACAGUGGCUCGACCCAUAGGGUCAGGUUUAAGUGGUUGAUCUCUGGCUUGCCCGUUCCAAGCUAGGAGUUGAGCUGAGGGACUCGAAGCGAACACUUCCCGUUCUUGGUAGUGGAAGGAUUGAGCUCAAACUGAACCAUCACUUUU